Molecule: ribosomal RNA, 759 nt
Filed under: Prevotella melaninogenica
Lineage: Bacteria; Pseudomonadati; Bacteroidota; Bacteroidia; Bacteroidales; Prevotellaceae
Description: bacterial SSU rRNA
Rfam family: Bacterial small subunit ribosomal RNA
Source: RNAcentral
GAUGAACGCUAGCUACAGGCUUAACACAUGCAAGUCGAGGGGAAACGAUGAGAGAGCUUGCUCUCUUAGGCGUCGACCGGCGCACGGGUGAGUAACGCGUAUCCAACCUGCCCAUUACAGGGGAAUAACCUUGCGAAAGUAAGACUAAUGCCCCAUGGUAUUCUCAGCAGACAUCUAAUGAGGAUUAAAGAUUUAUCGGUAAUGGAUGGGGAUGCGUCUGAUUAGCUUGUUGGCGGGGUAACGGCCCACCAAGGCAACGAUCAGUAGGGGUUCUGAGAGGAAGGUCCCCCACAUUGGAACUGAGACACGGUCCAAACUCCUACGGGAGGCAGCAGUGAGGAAUAUUGGUCAAUGGACGGAAGUCUGAACCAGCCAAGUAGCGUGCAGGAUGACGGCCCUAUGGGUUGUAAACUGCUUUUGUAUGGGGAUAAAGUUAGGGACGUGUCCCUAUUUGCAGGUACCAUACGAAUAAGGACCGGCUAAUUCCGUGCCAGCAGCCGCGGUAAUACGGAAGGUCCAGGCGUUAUCCGGAUUUAUUGGGUUUAAAGGGAGCGUAGGCUGGAGAUUAAGUGUGUUGUGAAAUGUAGACGCUCAACGUCUGAAUUGCAGCGCAUACUGGUUUCCUUGAGUACGCACAACGUUGGCGGAAUUCGUCGUGUAGCGGUGAAAUGCUUAGAUAUGACGAAGAACUCCGAUUGCGAAGGCAGCUGACGGGAGCGCAACUGACGCUUAAGCUCGAAGGUGCGGGUAUCAAACAGG